This 428-nucleotide ribosomal RNA is filed under the name uncultured organism. RNAcentral describes it as "bacterial SSU rRNA". It matches the Rfam family "Bacterial small subunit ribosomal RNA", at positions 355 to 775 of the family's 1533-position model. The record is from RNAcentral.
UGGGGAAUUUUGGACAAUGGGCGAAAGCCUGAUCCAGCCAUGCCGCGUGAGUGAAGAAGGCCUUCGGGUUGUAAAGCUCUUUUAGUCGGAAAGAAAGAGUCGCAAUGAAUAAUUGUGAUUUAUGACGGUACCGACAGAAAAAGCGCCGGCUAACUACGUGCCAGCAGCCGCGGUAAUACGUAGGGUGCGAGCGUUAAUCGGAAUUACUGGGCGUAAAGGGUGCGCAGGCGGUCUUGCAAGUCAGAUGUGAAAGCCCCGGGCUUAACCUGGGAAUUGCGUUUGAAACUACAAGGCUAGAGUGCAGCAGAGGGGAGUGGAAUUCCAUGUGUAGCAGUGAAAUGCGUAGAGAUGUGGAAGAACACCGAUGGCGAAGGCAGCUCCCUGGGUUGACACUGACGCUCAUGCACGAAAGCGUGGGGAGCAAACAG